CCUGGCUCAAAAGCUCCCCUGCUGAGCACCUUGUGACCCCCUGCCCCUGCCAGCCAGAGAACAACCCCCUUUGACUGUAAUUUUCCUUUACCCAAACCCUAUAAAACAGCCCCACCCCUAUCUUCGGACUCAGCCCGCCUGCACCCAGGUGAAAUAAACAGCCUUGUUGAUCACACAAAGCCUGUUUGAUGGUCUCUUCACACUGACGUGAGUGAAAUUUUGGUGCCGUGACUCGGAUCUGGGGAGUCACAAUCCGAGAUCAAUCCCCUGUCCUCCUGCUCUUUGCUCCACCUACGACCUCGGGUCCUCAGACCAACCAGCCCAAGGAACAUCUCACCAGUUUUAAAUCCGGUCAUCCUUUCCCCAUGGCUGCAUAAAAUAGAUUGAAUCAAAUGGAGCCCAUCAUGCUGGCUGCUUCUCUCCGCUGGGGCCAGGAGCAGCCUGACUGCAGAGUCAGCUGAAGACAGACAGCAGUCAGAGUGCUGGCCUUCUCCUUCCAAAAACACAGCCGUUCAAGUUCACAGAGACUGAAGAAUACGAUAAACACAGAUAAACGUGCUUGACGGACAGACAACCGGGCAGUGAUCUGCUGGGUUCAGCCAAUGUGAUGAGCAGAAGUGGGAAGAAAUCAGUCUCCUGUGCGGAUAGAAUCAGGAAACCCGUCUAAUCCCACUCUUCUCCAUUCCAUUCUCCAUACCGAAACCAGUGUCAUCUUCAAUGAGAUAAAGCAUAUCUAUAUCACACCCCUGUUUACAAAAAACCAUCACUACUGUCUCCGCUGCAUUUGUCUUAAUCGCAUAAUCCGGCUCCUAGUUCUUGGGCCAGUUUUACCAUGUGCCAGUUCCCCCGAACCAGUUUCUCCCAUUGGAAGGUUUUGUCUCUCUGCACAGCUCUGACCUCUGCCUGUGUUGCUCUUUCCCCAGAGCCUUGCCUGGCUGACUUCUACUCCUCCCUCAUGUGGCAGGAAAUCUCACCUUUGCAGAAAGACCUUCCAUGCCAACCUACACAGCAAAGGUCUUCUCCCAGGCCAUGCCCCUUUCAACUCUCAGCUCCUCACUUGUUUUCAUCAUAACAAUUACCCCAAAUGAUAAUGAUGGUUUUUUUUUUUUUUUUUUUGAAACAGAGUCUUGUUCUGUUGCCCAGGCUGGAAUGCUGUGGCGUUAUCUUGGCUCACUGCAACCUCCCACUUCCUGGGUUCAAGCAAUUCUCGUGACUCAGCCACCUGAGUAGCUGGGAUUACAGGUGUGUACCACCAUGCUCAGAUAAUUUUUGUAUUUUUAGUAGAGUUGGGGUUUCAUCAUGUUGGCUAGGCAAUUACAGGCGUGAGCCACUGCGCCCAGUUACAAUGGAUCUUAUGUAUCUGACCACUUACCCGUUUUGUCCUUCCUUCCUAGUAGAAUUGGACUCCCAUGCAAGUGGAGACCCAGUCAGUCUUGUUCACUGCAAUCUCCCCAGGGCCUGCCACAUCUAAAAGACAUAUUUUCUGAUAAAUGAAUCAUAACAGUUG
Molecule: long non-coding RNA, 1507 nt
Filed under: Homo sapiens (human)
Lineage: Eukaryota; Metazoa; Chordata; Mammalia; Primates; Hominidae
Description: HSALNT0227592
Source: RNAcentral